CUACGUUGCAAUAGUCACAAUAGUUUGAGUUAGUGUUUACACAAAGCGUCUUUAAAAUAAUCCAAAAAAAUAAUUAUUCAAAUCAUGAAUGGCACAGAAGCAUGUACAUCGUGAAACGGUAUUGACUCCGAGGAGAUUGUUAUUUCUGGUAUUGCUGGCAGAUUUUGCUAAUUCAGAUAACGCGAAUAAGUUACGAGAAAAUUUGUUUAAUAAAAUUGAUCUUGUUAGAUUGCUCUAACAAGAUCAAUUUUAUUAAACAAGUUUUCUUGUAACUUAUUCAUGAUCUGCAUCAUGAGCGAUGGAAACUAGAUGGAAUAUGCCACUUUUUCUACACUAGUUUGCUUAAAUUAAAGAUUUCCAUUCAGAUUAAUAAUUGUGUGUCUACACGUCGUCGUUGAAAGACAUUGCUCCUACAUUUACUAGUUAUUGCGAAAAAUAUCGCAUGUCUUGGUAGUAGAACAGUAAGACAUACCCUGAUAGCAAGGUGGUCCAAGUUCAAAUACUAAUUGAGAUUUUAAUGGAGCUGAAGAAAUGUAAUAUUUGGGAAGAGAGAUAUAAUAUUUUUGCCAAACAAGUCUUGACCAUGAACAAUUUAUAAAAAUUCAUCUGCUAUGGAGCAAUAUGAUUCUACUUUACUGUCUAUCAAAUCUCCUAUAAUAUUGUUAAAACCUACGAACCCGUUACCUGUAUACCCAUAACCGAGGACGAUUAUGGUUUGCAGAAGAUAACUCAAACCUAUUUAAUUCCUUAUCCAUACUACAAGCGCACGUGUAUCCUUUAUCCUGAUUCAACAUGCACAGUUGAGAACACGGAUUGGAAUGACAUGGAUUGUUAAUCUGAAAUUCGAUUUACAUUUAUUUAAAUACAAUAAUAAUACACACUUUUUGUAAUGUAUUUUUUGUUAACGAAAAAGUAACAUUACAAUACGAUGCAUACUUUGGGCUUUAUCGCCGAGUGAUCGAUGUGUACGCUAUAAGGUGAUGUUCUUUGUUAGUUCGAUAUAAGGUUUGCCAAUUCUUUUCAGUUUAUUGCA
This is a long non-coding RNA of Wasmannia auropunctata (little fire ant), 1033 nucleotides long. RefSeq lists it as uncharacterized. The record is from RefSeq and is a predicted model, not a curated record. NCBI's taxonomy places the organism in Eukaryota, Metazoa, Arthropoda, Insecta, Hymenoptera, Formicidae. The transcript has 6 exons.